This is an RNA transcript of Zea mays, 309 nucleotides long. It is a transcript of the gene named beta-adaptin pseudogene, with no coding region annotated. The record is from RefSeq and is marked validated. Lineage: Eukaryota; Viridiplantae; Streptophyta; Magnoliopsida; Poales; Poaceae. The transcript is spliced from 3 exons.
GGUUUGGAGAUGUGCAAUUAAAUUGGAGAGAGCUGCUAAAAGGUGCAUCAGCGUUUUGCUCGAGCUGAUUAAGAUAAAAGUUAAUUAUGUUGUUCAGGAAGCUAUAAUUGUUAUCAAAGACAUCUUCAGACGCUACCCUAACACGUAUGAGUCUAUCAUUGCUACGCUUUGUGAAAGUCGCUUUGUGAAAGUCUGGACACUUUAGAUGAACCAGAGGCUAAGGCAUCCAUGAUUUGGAUAAUUGGAGAAUAUGCUGAAAGAAUUGACAAUGGCUAAGGAUUGUAUUAUGGUCACACAUUUUUGUUUUUU